AUUGAACGCUGGCGGCAGGCUUAACACAUGCAAGUCGAGCGCGCGGCGGACGGGUGAGUAAUGUCUGGGAAACUGCCUGAUGGAGGGGGAUAACUAAUGGAAACGGUAGCUAAUACCGCAUACCAUCAGAUGGGCCCAGAUGGGAUUGGCUAUAAGGUGGGGUAAUGGCUCACCUAGGCGCCGAUCCCUAGCUGGUCUAAGAGGAUGACCGUCCACACUGGAACUGAGACACGGUCCAGACUCCUACGGGAGGCAGCAGUGGGGAAUAUUGCACAAUGGGCGCAAGCCGAAUGCGGCCAUGCCGCGUGUGUGAAGAAGGCCUUCGGGUUGUAAAGCACUUUCAGCGAGGAGGCGUUACUCGCAGAAGAAGCACCGGCUAACUCCGUGCCAGCAGCCGCGGUAAUUC
RNAcentral lists this ribosomal RNA (406 nucleotides) under uncultured bacterium. RNAcentral's name for it is "partial 16S ribosomal RNA". It matches the Rfam family "Bacterial small subunit ribosomal RNA", at positions 30 to 526 of the family's 1533-position model. The record is from RNAcentral.